Molecule: small nuclear RNA, 310 nt
Filed under: Camelus bactrianus (Bactrian camel)
Lineage: Eukaryota; Metazoa; Chordata; Mammalia; Artiodactyla; Camelidae
Also listed under: 1 other name
Description: 7SK RNA
Rfam family: 7SK RNA
About the family: 7SK was discovered as an abundant small nuclear RNA in the mid-70s but a possible function has only recently been suggested. Two independent studies have found that 7SK RNA binds the CDK9/cyclin T complex (known as elongation factor P-TEFb).
Source: Rfam by way of RNAcentral
GGAUGUGAGGGCAAUCUGGCUGCAACAGCUGACACCCCGUUGAUCAACACAGUUGAUUCGGCUGAUCUGGCUGGCCAGGCGGGUGUCCCCUUCCUCCCUCACCACUCCAUGCGCAUCCCUCCCGAAGCUGCGCACUCGGUCAAAAAGCACAGCCUUCCCUGAUAGAGGAGGACCGUUCUUAGUCAAGGGUAAACGAGCAGCUGCACUCCCCUGCUAUAACCCCCAAACAAGUUCUCAAAGACUGGGUUGCCAGCUCUGAGGCUUACUAGCUGUGUCACCCUGGAAAGGCUGAACCUCAGUGCCUUAUCCG